UUAUAAGCUAAGUGGAAGCCCACUUAAAAUACCUAAAAGUGGAAGUUGAUUGAGGAAGCCAAUUUAAGGUUUAAUUAGAUUAACCUAAGUUGAUUAAUUAAAAACCUAAGUUUUAUUAUCCCUUCCUUCUCCUCCACCGAUUUUCCCUCUUCCUCAUUCCCGAUUCCCUCUUCCUCUCCCUCAUGCGCCGCCUCUCCCGAACACUCAUCGCCGCUGAUCAACCGGCUCCGACGCCGAUGAGCCCCAAUUGUCGGCCGCCCAGACCAUUGGCGCCUAUUCACCCGGAACCUCCCGACAUCUCGUGCCCACUUGAUCUCGAUUCUCCGGCCAUUGACGGAUGUUGCGAGACCUCCUUGCGCCGAUUCUCCGAUCUGCUGGCGCCGAGAGCCACUCGUGCGCCACCCGAGUGUCGUUGAUGAUCUGUUUCUCCAUCUGCCUUUUCCCUUUGAGUCCAGGGCCAGAUUCCUCUCCGGCCAAGAGCUAAGCAUUUUCCCUUCGGUUGGUCGUAGUUGAUCCGCCAUCUGCGCCGAGCCCUAGCUCCUGAUUGCGGCUGCUUCAUCGAUGAGCCACAGCCGCCUAGCCGCCCUCUCCGGUUCCCCGUGCCCUAACUUCACUACUGCUUUUCGCUAGAAUCGCUCCAAUUGAAGCCGCACCGACGUCGCUGCUCUCUCAGCCGAUCUUCUGUCGUCCGCGCCGUGCCCUAGCUUCCAUCACAGCUGAUCUUCACUGAUUGCCACACUCCUCUGCUUUGGGACGACACCAUGGUAGUAUUUAGAUUUCUUCAUAGAGGAGGUUAUGGAUCUGGUUAAGGGGAAAGCUAGCACUAUUUGCCGACGAUCCACAGUUCAAUCCAUCAUUUAUGGAAGCCACCUUUCUCAGUUGUGAGUCCACAAAGGAGUCUUCCUAUUAUGGAUCCGAGUUGGAUGUGAUCAUCUGGAGUUGUUGAAGACGGUUGACACGCACUAUGUAUAAAGG
Zingiber officinale is the source of this 975-nucleotide long non-coding RNA. RefSeq lists it as uncharacterized. The transcript has 3 exons. NCBI's taxonomy places the organism in Eukaryota, Viridiplantae, Streptophyta, Magnoliopsida, Zingiberales, Zingiberaceae. The record is from RefSeq and is a predicted model, not a curated record.